RNAcentral lists this ribosomal RNA (482 nucleotides) under uncultured bacterium. Its description in RNAcentral is "partial 16S ribosomal RNA". It matches the Rfam family "Bacterial small subunit ribosomal RNA", at positions 28 to 523 of the family's 1533-position model. The record is from RNAcentral.
AGUGAACGUUGGCGGCGUGGAUUAGGCAUGCAAGUCGAGCGAGAACCGUAGCAAUACGGGGACAGCGGCGAAAGGGACAGUAAUGUGUAGGUACCUACCCCGAGGUCUGGGAUAGCUGCGGGAAACUGCAGGUAAUACCGGAUAAUGUCUUCGGACCAAAGGUGUGAUUCCACCUUGAGAGGGGCCUGCAUCCUAUUAGCUAGUUGGCGGGGUAAUGGCCCACCAAGGCAACGAUGGGUAGCGGGUGUGAGAGCACGACCCGCGUCAUUGGGACUGGGACACUUCCCAGACACCGACGGGGGGCUGCAGUCGAGGAUCGUCGGCAAUGGGCGAAAGCCUGACCGAGCGACGCCGCGUGCGGGAUGAAGGCCUUCGGGUUGUAAACCGCUGUCGUAGAGGAGGAAAUGCAGGGGGGUUCUCCCUUCUGUUUGACCUAUUCUAGGAGGAAGUACGGGCUAAGUUCGUGCCAGCCGCCGCAGUAA